This 537-nucleotide small RNA is filed under the name Pan troglodytes (chimpanzee). RNAcentral describes it as "processed transcript". Lineage: Eukaryota; Metazoa; Chordata; Mammalia; Primates; Hominidae. The record is from RNAcentral.
GGAAACCAGCUCUACCACUCCCUGCUAUGUAUUGUGCUUCAGUUCCUCAUCCUUCGACUAAUGGGCCGCACCAUCACUGCCGUCCUCACUACCUUUUGCUUCCAGAUGGCCUACCUUCUGGCUGGAUACUAUUACACUGCCACCGGCAACUACGAUAUCAAGUGGACAAUGCCACAUUGUGUUCUGACUUUGAAGCUGAUUGGUUUGGCUGUUGACUACUUUGACGGAGGGAAAGAUCAGGUAAGUACCCAUUCAUCCGCAGAGAGGUUCAAGACUUAAUGAAAGGGAAGAAAAAAGUUAACAAAAGACUGAACCCAAAUUCCAGAGCGGAGCCUCUCCCUCAUUCCCCAGCCUGUGCAAUCUCCCUUUCAGAUAGCACUGAGCAAGGAUCAACAAAUCUAAUUUGCCCAGGAUCCAGCUCUUACACAAAGUCCAGAGAUCAAUGCCAGCAAGGCAUUUGCUAAAGCAGCAACAGCCAGCUAUGCACACACAUACGCAUUUCCACAGAAGCAACUAUUUGUCAUCCCCCAAAGAGAA